UGAACAGAACAAGUGGUGCUCCGUCCUC
RNAcentral lists this non-coding RNA (28 nucleotides) under Homo sapiens (human). The record is from RNAcentral. Lineage: Eukaryota; Metazoa; Chordata; Mammalia; Primates; Hominidae.